This 125-nucleotide small RNA is filed under the name Marmota monax (woodchuck). The record is from RNAcentral. Lineage: Eukaryota; Metazoa; Chordata; Mammalia; Rodentia; Sciuridae.
GCUGGGCGUGGUGGCACACGCCUGUAAUCCCAGCAGUUUGGGAGGCUGAGGCAGGAGGAUUGUGAGUUCAGAGCCAGCCUCAGCCAAAGCAAGGCACUAAGCAACUCAGUGAGACCCUGCCUCUA